CUAAUAUAUCUACCAUGGUCC
RNAcentral lists this non-coding RNA (21 nucleotides) under Rattus norvegicus (Norway rat). Lineage: Eukaryota; Metazoa; Chordata; Mammalia; Rodentia; Muridae. The record is from RNAcentral.